Molecule: ribosomal RNA, 440 nt
Filed under: uncultured bacterium
Lineage: Bacteria
Description: partial 16S ribosomal RNA
Rfam family: Bacterial small subunit ribosomal RNA
Source: RNAcentral
CCUACGGGAGGCAGCAGUAGGGAAUAUUGCUCAAUGGGGGAAACCCUGAAGCAGCAACGCCGCGUGGAGGAUGAAGGUUUUCGGAUUGUAAACUCCUUUUGUUAGAGAAGAUAAUUACGGUAUCUAACGAAUAAGCACCUGCUAACUCCGUGCCAGCAGCCGCGGUCAUACGGAGGGUGCAAGCGUUACUCGGAAUCACUGGGCGUAAAGAUCGCGUAGGCGGGAUGGCAAGUCAGGUGUGAAAUCCUAUGGCUUAACCGUAGAACUGCAUUUGAAACUGUUAUUCUAGAGUAUGGGAGAGGUAGGUGGAAUUCUUGGUGUAGGGGUAAAAUCCGUAGAGAUCAGGAGGAAUACUCAUUGCGAAGGCGACCUGCUAGAACAUAACUGACGCUGAUGCGCGAAAGCGUGGGGAGCAAACAGGAUUAGAUACCCCUGUAGUC